Molecule: transfer RNA, 69 nt
Filed under: Rattus norvegicus (Norway rat)
Lineage: Eukaryota; Metazoa; Chordata; Mammalia; Rodentia; Muridae
Rfam family: tRNA
About the family: Transfer RNA (tRNA) molecules are approximately 80 nucleotides in length.
Source: Rfam by way of RNAcentral
GGGGAUUUAGCUCAGUGGUAGAGUACUUGCCUAGCAAGCACAAGGCCCUGGGUUCGGUUCCCAGCUCCG